CCAUCCCAGUUCGGAUUGCAGGCUGCAACCCGCCUGCAUGAAGUUGGAAUCACUAGUAAUCGCGGAUCAGCAUGCCGCGGUGAAUGCGUUCUCGGGCCUUGUACACACCGCCCGUCACACCAUGAGAGUCGGGAACACCCGAAGUCCGUAGCCUAACCGCAAGGGGGCGCGGCCGAAGGUGGGCUCGAUAAUUGGGGUGAAGUCGUAACAAGGUACC
RNAcentral lists this ribosomal RNA (217 nucleotides) under uncultured bacterium. RNAcentral describes it as "partial 16S ribosomal RNA". It matches the Rfam family "Bacterial small subunit ribosomal RNA", at positions 1283 to 1500 of the family's 1533-position model. The record is from RNAcentral.